GACGAACGCUGGCGGCGUGCUUAACACAUGCAAGUCGAACGGAAAGGCCCUGCUUUUGUGUGGUGCUCGAGUGGCGAACGGGUGAGUAACACGUGAGUAACCUGCCCUUGACUUUGGGAUAACUUCAGGAAACUGGGGCUAAUACCGGAUAGGAGCUCCUGCUGCAUGGUGGGGGUUGGAAAGUUUCGGCGGUUGGGGAUGGACUCGCGGCUUAUCAGCUUGUUGGUGGGGUAGUGGCUUACCAAGGCUUUGACGGGUAGCCGGCCUGAGAGGGUGACCGGACACAUUGGGACUGAGAUACGGCCCAGACUCCUACGGGAGGCAGCAGUGGGGAAUAUUGCACAAUGGGCGGAAGCAUGAUGCAGCAACGCCGCGUGCGGGAUGACGGCCUUCGGGUUGUAAACCGCUUUCGCCUGUGACGAAGCGUGAGUGACGGUAAUGGGUAAAGAAGCACCGGCUAACUACGUG
Molecule: ribosomal RNA, 468 nt
Filed under: uncultured bacterium
Lineage: Bacteria
Description: partial 16S ribosomal RNA
Rfam family: Bacterial small subunit ribosomal RNA
Source: RNAcentral